Oncorhynchus keta (chum salmon) is the source of this 184-nucleotide long non-coding RNA. RefSeq lists it as uncharacterized. The record is from RefSeq and is a predicted model, not a curated record. The transcript is spliced from 4 exons. Lineage: Eukaryota; Metazoa; Chordata; Actinopteri; Salmoniformes; Salmonidae.
CACUGGUAUAAACAGCUGAGGUAACACUGGUUUAAACAGCUGAGGUAACACUGGUUUAAACAGCUGAGGUAAAACUGGUAUAAACAGCUGAGGUAACACUGGUAUAAACAGCCGAGGUAACACUGGUAUAAACAGCUGAGGUGAAACUGGUUUAAACAGCUGAGGUAACACUGGUAUAAACAGC